This 497-nucleotide ribosomal RNA is filed under the name uncultured bacterium. RNAcentral describes it as "partial 16S ribosomal RNA". It matches the Rfam family "Bacterial small subunit ribosomal RNA", at positions 28 to 507 of the family's 1533-position model. The record is from RNAcentral.
GACGAACGCUGGCGGCGUGCCUAAUACAUGCAAGUUGAGCGCUGAAGGUUGGUACUUGUACCAACUGGAUGAGCAGCGAACGGGUGAGUAACGCGUGGGGAAUCUGCCUUUGAGCGGGGGACAACAUUUGGAAACGAAUGCUAAUACCGCAUAAAAACUUUAAACACAAGUUUUAAGUUUGAAAGAUGCAAUUGCAUCACUCAAAGAUGAUCCCGCGUUGUAUUAGCUAGUUGGUGAGGUAAAGGCCCACCAAGGCGAUGAUACAUAGCCGACCUGAGAGGGUGAUCGGCCACAUUGGGACUGAGGCACGGCCCAAACUCCUACGGGAGGCAGCAGUAGGGAAUCUUCGGCAAUGGACGAAAGUCUGACCGAGCAACGCCGCGUGAGUGAAGAAGGUUUUCGGAUCGUAAAACUCUGUUGGUAGAGAAGAACGUUGGUGAGAGUGGAAAGCUCAUCAAGUGACGGUAACUACCCAGAAAGGGACGGCUAACUACGUG